Molecule: non-coding RNA, 306 nt
Organism: Nerophis lumbriciformis (worm pipefish)
Lineage: Eukaryota; Metazoa; Chordata; Actinopteri; Syngnathiformes; Syngnathidae
Source: RefSeq, a predicted model, not a curated record
GUUUAUCUACUCCCGAGUUAUGCAAUGUUUUGGUUUGGAGAUUGGGAAGCAAAGGAGAGAGAGGACCACUGAAGGUCUGAGUGGAACCAAAGGAGACAAGCAUCGGUGGAGCGGUCAUUCUCAGCACUGAAAAGAAUCCAAACAUACAGUCGGAACAGGACCGAUCAAGGACGACUUUCUUCCCUGGCAGUGAUCUCCAUCGAGACAGAGAGACUUUUAAAACUGAAGAAAGAUAAGGAAGACUUCUUUAAACAAGUUAUCAAUGCUUUUGUUCAGAAGGAGCGGCGCAUGGACUUCAUUUAUAAG